GGUUGCGAUCAUAACAGCACUAAUGCACCGGAUCCUAUCAGAACUCCGCAGUCAAGCGUGCUUGGGCGAGAUUUGUACUAGGAUGGGUGACCGUCCUUGGGAAGUCCUCGUGUUUGCAACCC
RNAcentral lists this ribosomal RNA (122 nucleotides) under Helianthus annuus (common sunflower). The record is from RNAcentral. Lineage: Eukaryota; Viridiplantae; Streptophyta; Magnoliopsida; Asterales; Asteraceae.